This 248-nucleotide ribosomal RNA is filed under the name uncultured bacterium. RNAcentral's name for it is "partial 16S ribosomal RNA". It matches the Rfam family "Bacterial small subunit ribosomal RNA", at positions 57 to 305 of the family's 1533-position model. The record is from RNAcentral.
GCAAGUCGAACGGUAACAGCAGAGCUUGCUCUGGCUGACGAGUGGCGGACGGGUGAGUAAUAUAUAGGAAUCUGCCUAGUGGUGGGGGACAACGUAUGGAAACGUACGCUAAUACCGCAUACGCCCUUUGGGGGAAAACGGGGGAUCUUCGGACCUCGUGCCAUUAGAUGAGCCUAUAUCCAAUUAGCUAGUUGGUAGGGUAAGAGCCUACCAAGGCGACGAUCUCUAGCUGGUUUGAGAGGAUGAUC